This 95-nucleotide small RNA is filed under the name Mytilus galloprovincialis (Mediterranean mussel). Lineage: Eukaryota; Metazoa; Mollusca; Bivalvia; Mytilida; Mytilidae. The record is from RNAcentral.
UGAUGAUGAUGAUGAUGAUGAUGAUGAUGAUGAUGAUGAUGAUGAUGAUGAACUCGAUGUGAUCCUCAUGAUGAUGAUGAUCAUGAUCAUUAAAA